Molecule: long non-coding RNA, 1717 nt
Organism: Mytilus trossulus (common blue mussel)
Lineage: Eukaryota; Metazoa; Mollusca; Bivalvia; Mytilida; Mytilidae
Exons: 11
Source: RefSeq, a predicted model, not a curated record
CUUUUUUAGGCUCACACCAUACUUUAAUUCAUCAAUUCUUUAAAGUCAGACAUCAUGGACAUAGUUAUUCCUCUCUAAAACAACACAACAGGAGAUUAUCCGAUUGUGUAGAAUAGUUUCUUCAAAUCAGAAGCAUAUCUUUUGGAUGAACUUUUGUAAACAGGAUACUUUUUGAUUUCUUGGAAUAGUUUCUUCAAAUCAGAAGCAUACAUCUUGGACAAAUUUUUGUAAACAGGUAUUCAAAUAACUGUUAAUAAACAUGCAAAACACCGCUAUCAAGACAACCAACUGCACAUUUAGUCUUCCUAUUAUAACGGCGAUCUUGUAUGUAGUUCAGGAAUACUCUCAUUAGAUUUGACGCAAACGUUGCGGCAACUUUUCCAGACGGGGAUAGUCGAAUGACUGUAAGAAAGAAAGCUUAACACCAAGAUCAAGGAGAUUAUCCGAUUGUGUAGAAUAGUUUCUUCAAAUGAGAAGCAUAUCUUUUGGAUGAACUUUUGUAAACAGACAAUUACUCGUACUGUUUGGUGGGAAAUUAUGCCAAAAAUAAUUAGGCACUGCUAUCAAUAGAUGCUGUUAAUGAACACACACUUGGAUACUUUUUGAUUUCUUGGAAUAGUUUCUUCAAAUCAGAAGCAUACAUCUUGGACAAAUUUUUGUAAACAGAUUUGACUCAAACGUUGCGGCAACUUUUCCAGACGGGGAUAGUCGAAUGACUGUAAGAAAGAAAGCUUAACACCAAGAUCAAGAUAAACAGUCAUAAACGCAUUCACACACAUAUAUCUGCAUUUGAGCUUACUGAUUAUUUUUGUGAAGAAAAACAAAUAACGAACUUAAUCAAAAGUAAUUGAUUCAAAGUAAAACUUAUAUAUUACGUUGUUGUAUUAGUGAGAAUACAAGGUGUUUAUCACAAAUGUUAAUUCACCUGAUUGGGUGGAGCUUACGUUUUGAUUAACAUAAGGACAGUCUAAUGAGUGUAUGAUGUGGACAGUUCACUGAUGAGUGUAUAAAACACCUAUAUAUAGAUGAACUAGUCUAUAAUGAGCAAACCGAUAAAACUCUGCCCAGUCAAGUAACAGAAAUCAAGCAGUACUUGCUGCCAUUGCAAGUUUUGCUAUUGCGGCAGUAUAUUAGUGAUAAAACAAGGUGUAUACUUCCUGGUGUUGCAAGUUGUACUAUUGGGAAAUAUGAAUACUUCAUCGAUGUGUAUUAGUCAGAAUACACGAUGUAUACUUGCUGGUGUUGCAAGUCGUUAUAUUGUGGAAGUUUAUAAGUGAAAGUCAACUGUGUUUAAUUUUACCAGUUUGGAAUAUAUUCAUUUGGUUCAGAUUCAAAGUGAUAAACAGUGUAAAGUAAAAUCACAAAACUACUGAGCUCCGAGGAAAACGGAAAGUCUCUAAUUAAAUGACAAAAAAAACAUACAUCAAACGAAUGGACAACAACAACUUAACAAACAGACAUUACAGGAGAUUAUCCGAUUGUGUAGAAUAGUUUCUUCAAAUCAGAAGCAUAUCUUUUGGAUGAACUUUUGUAAACAGACAAUUACUCGUACUGUUUGGUGAGAAAUUAUGCCAAAAAUAAUUAGGCACUGCUAUCAAUAGAUGCUUUUAAUGAACACACACUUGGUAACGUAAUAUUUUAGACAAUUAGUCGUAAACGCAUUCGAACACAUGUAUCUGCAUUCAUGGAUAUUGAUUUUUUUUGUAAACAUAUGAUC